AACGAGGUACAGUUCUGUUUAUGUGUGGCAUUAUCAGUAAAGAAGUUCUGAGUAAACACGUUGUCGUUGAAUACUGCUUCUCUGCCGAACCUUAUUUAGUGCCUCAUGCAGUAAUGUCUCAGUUUCAUCUCGGUCAAUGCCUGCGGGCUAAGAAAACACUCUAAGGAAUUUUGCAAAUGGCAAAGAUUAAAGGUCAAGUUAAGUGGUUCAACGAGUCUAAAGGCUUUGGUUUCAUUACUCCUGCUGACGGCAGCAAAGACGUGUUCGUGCACUUCUCUGCAAUCCAGGGUAACGGCUUCAAGACUCUGGCUGAAGGCCAGAACGUUGAGUUCGAAAUUCAGGACGGCCAGAAAGGCCCAGCAGCGGUUAACGUUACUGCUAUCUGAUUUUCCUCCACUGCUUGAGCGCGAUUAGCGCAUCAAUGUCAGCGUAAAAGCCUCGCCGCGUGCGGGGCUUUUUAAU
RNAcentral lists this small RNA (462 nucleotides) under Pseudescherichia vulneris NBRC 102420. Its description in RNAcentral is "Escherichia vulneris NBRC 102420 cspA thermoregulator". It matches the Rfam family "cspA thermoregulator". The record is from Rfam by way of RNAcentral. Lineage: Bacteria; Pseudomonadati; Pseudomonadota; Gammaproteobacteria; Enterobacterales; Enterobacteriaceae.